RNAcentral lists this long non-coding RNA (831 nucleotides) under Astyanax mexicanus (Mexican tetra). RNAcentral describes it as "lncRNA (ENSAMXG00005013455.1)". The record is from RNAcentral. Lineage: Eukaryota; Metazoa; Chordata; Actinopteri; Characiformes; Acestrorhamphidae.
UGUCAGUGUUUCUAUAUUAUUUAGGAUAAAGCCUACAAGUUGACUAUAAUUGGGAAUUGAGUUAAUUGGUCUUGUUUAGUUGGACUGGCCCAGAGAAGGGGCCAAUGCUUAAUAGUAGUCGGCGCCAUUGUUGUUUAUGCUCAUAUUUUCGGUUCCGUGUCCAAGCUGUUCAAGUGAAUGGGGAGUUUGAAUGGGCUUUUCAAAAACUGGCCUCUCUCACAUUCUGUGGUAAAUAAAUAUGUUCAGAACCCUGUACGUUUUAUUCUGUGUACAUUUACCUCCUUAAUAUCAUUGGAUCCUCUGAAUUUUGAGAUUUAAGGGUAGUUUUUAGAAAAAUGCUAACUUUAAGUUAAUGCUUAACUCACGUCACACUACAACAGCUGGUCAGAUCGCGUUUUGGAUUCUUCUUCUUCUUCACAGAUGAAGCAAUUAAACAGAGGAUCCAGUGACACGGAAGCCGUUCGAGGACUACAGAAUGAUACACAACCUCAGUGGUCUAUAAAGAAGAAGCUCCUAGAGCCAGUAUUCAGACAGGUGGCAAGAUGGCGCCACAAAACCAGUUUCCGGGUCACGGACGAGAGGAGGAGGAUCAGUAGAAAAAAGGAGCCAAGGCUGGUAGUCGUAUUGAGUGGAUCUUCCCUGAGUGAGCCGUGAAAAAGCUGUGAAAAGCUGUUGGGGUCCGACGCCCCCCUACACACCAACCCCCCCAUUCAUCAGACACCUGGUCAAGUUUGAAAACAUGAAAACAUGAGGCAAUUAAGCAGGACAGGCCCUCCUGCUCGCAUCUGGCAGCUUUAAGUCUGGGCCGGGCGCUAAUUAGGUACAACUGGG